This 23-nucleotide non-coding RNA is filed under the name Arabidopsis thaliana (thale cress). The record is from RNAcentral. Lineage: Eukaryota; Viridiplantae; Streptophyta; Magnoliopsida; Brassicales; Brassicaceae.
AUGGGAUAUGUUGUAGACGAUGC